RNAcentral lists this ribosomal RNA (301 nucleotides) under uncultured bacterium. RNAcentral describes it as "partial 16S ribosomal RNA". It matches the Rfam family "Bacterial small subunit ribosomal RNA", at positions 509 to 807 of the family's 1533-position model. The record is from RNAcentral.
CAGCCGCCGCGGUAAUACGUAGGUGGCAAGCGUUGUCCGGAAUUAUUGGGCGUAAAGGGCUCGCAGGCGGUUUCUUAAGUCUGAUGUGAAAGCCCCCGGCUCAACCGGGGAGGGUCAUUGGAAACCGGGAAACUUGAGUGCAGAAGAGGAGAGUGGAAUUCCACGUGUAGCGGUGAAAUGCGUAGAGAUGUGGAGGAACACCAGUGGCGAAGGCGACUCUCUGGUCUGUAACUGACGCUGAGGGGCGAAAGCGUGGGGAGCAAACAGGAUUAGAUACCCCUGUAGUCCCUGUCUCUUAUAC